Molecule: ribosomal RNA, 779 nt
Filed under: Escherichia coli
Lineage: Bacteria; Pseudomonadati; Pseudomonadota; Gammaproteobacteria; Enterobacterales; Enterobacteriaceae
Description: partial 23S ribosomal RNA
Rfam family: Bacterial large subunit ribosomal RNA
Source: RNAcentral
CGCCAGUCUGCAUGGAGCCGACCUUGAAAUACCACCCUUUAAUGUUUGAUGUUCUAACGUGGACCCGUGAUCCGGGUUGCGGACAGUGUCUGGUGGGUAGUUUGACUGGGGCGGUCUCCUCCUAAAGAGUAACGGAGGAGCACGAAGGUUGGCUAAUCCUGGUCGGACAUCAGGAGGUUAGUGCAAUGGCAUAAGCCAGCUUGACUGCGAGCGUGACGGCGCGAGCAGGUGCGAAAGCAGGUCAUAGUGAUCCGGUGGUUCUGAAUGGAAGGGCCAUCGCUCAACGGAUAAAAGGUACUCCGGGGAUAACAGGCUGAUACCGCCCAAGAGUUCAUAUCGACGGCGGUGUUUGGCACCUCGAUGUCGGCUCAUCACAUCCUGGGGCUGAAGUAGGUCCCAAGGGUAUGGCUGUUCGCCAUUUAAAGUGGUACGCGAGCUGGGUUUAGAACGUCGUGAGACAGUUCGGUCCCUAUCUGCCGUGGGCGCUGGAGAACUGAGGGGGGCUGCUCCUAGUACGAGAGGACCGGAGUGGACGCAUCACUGGUGUUCGGGUUGUCAUGCCAAUGGCACUGCCCGGUAGCUAAAUGCGGAAGAGAUAAGUGCUGAAAGCAUCUAAGCACGAAACUUGCCCCGAGAUGAGUUCUCCCUGACUCCUUGAGAGUCCUGAAGGAACGUUGAAGACGACGACGUUGAUAGGCCGGGUGUGUAAGCGCAGCGAUGCGUUGAGCUAACCGGUACUAAUGAACCGUGAGGCUUAACCUUACAACGCCGAAGCUGUU